Molecule: ribosomal RNA, 253 nt
Filed under: uncultured bacterium
Lineage: Bacteria
Description: partial 16S ribosomal RNA
Rfam family: Bacterial small subunit ribosomal RNA
Source: RNAcentral
UACGGGGGGGGCAAGCGUUGUUCGGAAUUACUGGGCGUAAAGGGCUCGUAGGUGGCCAACUAAGUCAGACGUGAAAUCCCUCGGCUUAACCGGAGAACUGCGUCUGAUACUGGAUGGCUUGAGUUCGGGAGAGGGAUGCGGAAUUCCAGGUGUAGCGGUGAAAUGCGUAGAUAUCUGGAGGAACACCGGUGGCGAAGGCGGCAUCCUGGACCGAUACUGACACUGAGGAGCGAAAGCCAGGGGAGCAAACGGG